This 497-nucleotide ribosomal RNA is filed under the name uncultured bacterium. Its description in RNAcentral is "partial 16S ribosomal RNA". It matches the Rfam family "Bacterial small subunit ribosomal RNA", at positions 28 to 507 of the family's 1533-position model. The record is from RNAcentral.
GAUGAACGCUGGCGGCGUGCCUAAUACAUGCAAGUCGAGCGAACAGAUGAGGAGCUUGCUCCUCUGACGUUAGCGGCGGACGGGUGAGUAACACGUGGAUAACCUACCUAUAAGACUGGGAUAACUUCGGGAAACCGGAGCUAAUACCGGAUCAUAUAUUGAACCGCAUGGUUCAAUAGUGAAUGACGGUUUUGCUGUCACUUAUAGAUGGAUCCGCGCCGCAUUAGCUAGUUGGUAAGGUAACGGCUUACCAAGGCAACGAUGCGUAGCCGACCUGAGAGGGUGAUCGGCCACACUGGAACUGAGACACGGUCCAGACUCCUACGGGAGGCAGCAGUAGGGAAUCUUCCGCAAUGGGCGAAAGCCUGACGGAGCAACGCCGCGUGAGUGAUGAAGGUCUUCGGAUCGUAAAACUCUGUUAUUAGGGAAGAACAAAUGUGUAAGUAACUAUGCACGUCUUGACGGUACCUAAUCAGAAAGCCACGGCUAACUACGUG